GAUGAACGCUGGCGGCGUGCCUAAUACAUGCAAGUCGAGCGAACAGACGAGGAGCUUGCUCCUCUGACGUUAGCGGCGGACGGGUGAGUAACACGUGGAUAACCUACCUAUAAGACUGGGAUAACUUCGGGAAACCGGAGCUAAUACCGGAUAAUAUAUUGAACCGCAUGGUUCAAUAGUGAAAGACGGUUUUGCUGUCACUUAUAGAUGGAUCCGCGCCGCAUUAGCUAGUUGGUAAGGUAACGGCUUACCAAGGCAACGAUGCGUAGCCGACCUGAGAGGGUGAUCGGCCACACUGGAACUGAGACACGGUCCAGACUCCUACGGGAGGCAGCAGUAGGGAGUCUUCCGCAAUGGGCGAAAGCCUGACGGAGCAACGCCGCGUGAGUGAUGAAGGUCUUCGGAUCGUAAAAAUCUGUUAUUAGGGAAGAACAAAUGUGUAAGUAACUAUGCACGUCUUGACGGUACCUAAUCAGAAAGCCACGGCUAACUACGUG
RNAcentral lists this ribosomal RNA (497 nucleotides) under uncultured bacterium. RNAcentral's name for it is "partial 16S ribosomal RNA". It matches the Rfam family "Bacterial small subunit ribosomal RNA", at positions 28 to 507 of the family's 1533-position model. The record is from RNAcentral.